AACGAACGCUGGCGGCGCGCCUAAUACAUGCAAGUCGAGCGAGAAGACGUAGCAAUACGUUUGUAAAGCGGCGAACGGGUGAGGAAUACAUGGGUAACCUACCCUCGAGUGGGAAUAACUAGCCGAAGGUUAGCUAAUACCGCGUACGCUCCUUGGACUUCGGUUCAGGGAGGAAAGCGAUACCGUGGGUAUCGCGCUCUUGGAUGGGCUCAUGUCCUAUCAGCUUGUUGGUGAGGAACGGCUCACCAAGGCUUCGACGGGUAGCUGGUCUGAGAGGACGAUCAGCCACACUGGCACUGCGACACGGGCCAGACUCCUACGGGAGGCAGCAGUAAGGAUAUUGCGCAAUGGGCGAAAGCCUGACGCAGCGACGCCGCGUGGGGGA
This 385-nucleotide ribosomal RNA is filed under the name uncultured bacterium. RNAcentral's name for it is "bacterial SSU rRNA". It matches the Rfam family "Bacterial small subunit ribosomal RNA", at positions 29 to 408 of the family's 1533-position model. The record is from RNAcentral.